This 1554-nucleotide long non-coding RNA is filed under the name Pan troglodytes (chimpanzee). Its description in RNAcentral is "long non-coding RNA NONPTRT003750". Lineage: Eukaryota; Metazoa; Chordata; Mammalia; Primates; Hominidae. The record is from RNAcentral.
CUGUGCUUCCCCAGGAAUCUGUGUUUCCAGAGAACCAGGUGCAUCAGCGCAUUGCGGAGCUGAGGAAAGCAGGUCUGUGGUCCCAGAGGCGUCUGCUGAAGCUGCAGGAGGCCCCACGGCCCAAGUCCCACUGGGACUGUCUGCUGGAGGAGAUGCAGUGGAUGGCCACAGACUUUGCCCAGGAGAGGUGGAAGGUGGCCUCUGUGAAGAAGAUGGUCAGAGCUGUGGCCCGGCAGCUGCAGGACAGGACGCGCAGGGAGGCCGGGGCCAGGAGGGAGGAGCCGAGCAGGCUGAAGCAGACGUCACCUGUACUACCAGAGAAAUCGAGCGUCCCUGGUCUAGUACUGCGCAGGUAAAGAUUCCAGCAUCUUUGAAGCAAGUGCUCCACUGGAAAAUAAAAGCGACGUGGAGCACUUGAUUAGACUCCAGAAACAGAAACUGCAGCUGCUCCCACCACCCCCACCACCGCAGGCCCUCCCCGGGGCGCAGCCAACCACACAAGUGCAAGUGCAGCCAUCACCCCCCACCACAGCAGAGCCCCCAGCUCACCACGGUCACGGCCCCGAGACCCAGAGCCCUGUUGAUGGGCACCACCAUGGCCAACCUCCAGACUCGAGUUUCCACCUCCCACCUGCAAGGCCCAAGACUGAUGUCAGCGCUGACGUACCAGAUGGCCCAGGUUGCUGUGGCCACGCCUCCUGUGGUGUCUGUCCUGGCAGUUGUGGUGCUGUCAGCCAGGGUCACAGUGCUUCCAUCAACGCAACGGGAUCAGUGUUGUGAUAAGGCAGCUGCAAAAAGCGGCAGUGGGCAACAGAUUUGAGCAGACACUCCACCAAAGAAGCUCUCUAGGUGGCAAAUAAGCACUGUCCUCUGGGAAAUGCAAAUAAAAAUCACAAUGAGAAACUACUGCACACCCGUGAGAAUGCCUUUAAAAAAAAAAGACAAGACCAAAACCAAGUGUUAGUGAGGGUGUGGAACAACAGAAAUUCUCAUACCUUGUUGGUGGAACUACAAGAUAGUGGAGCCCUCUGGAAUCAGUUUGGCAGUUUCUUAUAAAAUAAAACAAUCAUUUACUGUAUGACCCAGCAAUCCCGCCCCUCAUUCUUUAUACCAGAGAAAUGAAGACAUAUGUCCACACAAUAACCAAAUACUGUAACCACAAUGAAAAAUGAUGCAAGUGUUCACAGAAGCUUUAUUCAUUUACCUAAAACUGAAAGCAACCCAGACACUCUUCAACUGGCCAAUGGGUAAACAAACGGCAGCCCACCAGUUCCAUAAAACAGCACUCAGCAGGAGACAGGACUGGGCCACUGAUGCUGGGGGCAGCGGGGAUAAGCCUGAAAUGUCUUAUGCAGAGUGAAAGAGGCCACACUUAGAAGGCUGCAGUUUUUGUUUUUAUAUAUGACAUUCUGGAAAAGGCAACACUAUAGCGACAGAGAAGAGCUCUGCGGUCACGAGGGGCUGGGGCGGUGGAAGGACUGACUUUCAAAGGGACAAGAGGGAAUUCUUGGGGGCUGUGGAAAGAUUCUGUAUCUUGAUGCUGAUGGUUGUUAC